Molecule: ribosomal RNA, 406 nt
Filed under: uncultured bacterium
Lineage: Bacteria
Description: partial 16S ribosomal RNA
Rfam family: Bacterial small subunit ribosomal RNA
Source: RNAcentral
AUUGAACGCUGGCGGCAGGCCUAACACAUGCAAGUCGAACGAGUGGCGGACGGGUGAGUAAUGUCUGGGAAACUGCCUGAUGGAGGGGGCUAACUACUGGAAACGGUAGCUAAUACCGCAUACCAUCGGAUGUGCCCAUAUGGGAUUAGCUAGUAGGUGGGGUAAAGGCUCACCUAGGCGACGAUCCGUAGCUGGUCUGAGAGGAUGAACAGCAACACUGGAACGGAGACACGGCCCAGAUGCCUACGGGAGGCAGCAGUGGGGAAUAUUGCACAAUGGGCGCAAUCCUGAUGCAGCCAUGCCGCGUGUAUGAAGAAGGCCUUCGGGUUGUAAAGUACUUUCAGCGGGGAGGCGUUACCCGCAGAAGAAGCACCGGCUAACUCCGUGCCAGCCGCCGCGGUAAUUC